RNAcentral lists this ribosomal RNA (404 nucleotides) under uncultured bacterium. RNAcentral describes it as "bacterial SSU rRNA". It matches the Rfam family "Bacterial small subunit ribosomal RNA", at positions 355 to 776 of the family's 1533-position model. The record is from RNAcentral.
UGGGGAAUAUUGCACAAUGGGGGAAACCCUGAUGCAGCAACGCCGCGUGAGUGAAGAAGUCAUUCGUGAUGUAAAGCUCUAUCAGCAGGGAAGAAAAUGACGGUACCUGACUAAGAAGCCCCGGCUAACUACGUGCCAGCAGCCGCGGUAAUACGUAGGGGGCAAGCGUUAUCCGGAUUUACUGGGUGUAAAGGGAGCGUAGACGGCAGUGUAAGUCUGAAGUGAAAUGCCCGUGCUCAACACGGGAACUGCUUUGGAAACUGCACAGCUGGAGUGCGGGAGAGGUAAGUGGAAUUCCUAGUGUAGCGGUGAAAUGCGUAGAUAUUAGGAGGAACACCAGUGGCGAAGGCGGCUUACUGGACCGUAACUGACGUUGAGGCUCGAAAGCGUGGGGAGCAAACAGG